Molecule: long non-coding RNA, 261 nt
Organism: Electrophorus electricus (electric eel)
Lineage: Eukaryota; Metazoa; Chordata; Actinopteri; Gymnotiformes; Gymnotidae
Source: Ensembl
CUAGCUACUGCACACAUCAGGGCAGGCAGUGCUGUUCUCACCCACUGACAUGGAGGAACCACAGGAGGUGAUGGAGAUUCCAGCCAAGAAAGCUCGGCAUGACAUGGAUGCGAGCCAGGAGGAGAACCCAAGGAGUGACCCAGCCAUCUUGGGAUCAGAGGUCACCACUUACCCUCCAUCCUCUUCCACUCAUCUAGCUGCUGUUUCUGGAAGUGAAGAACUGUCAAAUCAAGAAAUAUCACAAAACAAGACCGGUGACGC